GUAACGGCGAGUGAAAGCGGCAACAGCUCAAAUUUGAAAUCUGGCUCUCGGGCCCGAGUUGUAAUUUGUAGAGGAUGCUUUUGGUGAGGUGCCUUCCGAGUUCCCUGGAACGGGACGCCAUAGAGGGUGAGAGCCCCGUCUGGUUGGACGCCGAACCUCUGUAAAGCUCCUUCGACGAGUCGAGUAGUUUGGGAAUGCUGCUCUAAAUGGGAGGUAUAUGUCUUCUAAAGCUAAAUACCGGCCAGAGACCGAUAGCGCACAAGUAGAGUGAUCGAAAGAUGAAAAGAACUUUGAAAAGAGAGUUAAACAGUACGUGAAAUUGUUGAAAGGGAAGCGCUUGUGACCAGACUUGGGCUUGGUUGAUCAUCCGGGGUUCUCCCCGGUGCACUCUUCCGGCCCAGGCCAGCAUCAGUUCGCCCUGGGGGACAAAGGCUUCGGGAACGUGGCUCUCUCCGGGGAGUGUUAUAGCCCGUUGCGUAAUACCCUGUGGCGGACUGAGGUUCGCGCAUUCGCAAGGAUGCUGGCGUAAUGGUCAUCAGUGACCCGUCUUGAAACACGGACCAAGGAGUCGUCUUCGUAUGCGAGUGUUCGGGUGUCAAACCCCUACGCGAAAUGAAAGUGAACGCAGGUGAGAGCUUCGGCGCAUCAUCGACCGAUCCUGAUGUUAUCGGAUGGAUUUGAGUAAGAGCAUACGGGGCCGGACCCGAAAGAAGGUGAACUAUGCCUGUGUAGGGUGAAGCCAGAGGAAACUCUGGUGGAGGCUCGCAGCGGUUCUGACGUGCAAAUCGAUCGUCAAACAUGGGCAUG
Molecule: ribosomal RNA, 807 nt
Filed under: Fusarium petroliphilum
Lineage: Eukaryota; Fungi; Ascomycota; Sordariomycetes; Hypocreales; Nectriaceae
Description: eukaryotic LSU rRNA
Rfam family: Eukaryotic large subunit ribosomal RNA
Source: RNAcentral